UUUCAUGUUCAGCGCUUAACUUACCUCCGAAUAAAACCCGCAGUCCCUAUUAGCUACUCGCUGGUAAGGCCAGCGUGUCCCGCGCAUUUCGUGUUUCCGACUUUACCCGACAAUAGCUAACUGGCGAUGCAAAUUUAGAACUGCGACCUACAUUCUUUGUUCCGGGGGAUUCCCUAUUUGUGCGCAUGUCCAGAAGACGUUAAUAUGUCUUCCGGGAAAAACAAACAGGCGUGCUCACAGAUUUACUAUACAACUCUGUGGAUGUGCUCUUUUCGCGGAACAAACUUUGUCAGCCUACUUUUUUUUAUAAUAAUGGAGCCGACGUCUUCCAAACGCCAGCGAGGAGCAAACUGGUCCAGCAGGGAAGUACGGGCAUUAUUAGAGUUUAAGAGAGAGGUUUUUGAGAUAACUCUAGUCAGCAGCUGCCCAGAUUUGCCUUCAUAUGCACCUGUUCCUGAUGCUGGCCUAACAAAGGAAGUGUUCUCUAGUGUAGAUGUCUAUGAUACAAAUAGUUAAGAUGUACUCUCAAUAUAUAUUCUGAGAAAAUAAGUGUCAAGCAGAAUUUAAGUUCAGGUCAGCUUUAUGCUAUACCUAACGCUGUUUGCAGAAAUGACAAGUACUGUUAAUAGUUUGUAAUCUCAGCAGUCCUGUCCAACCUUAAAUGAAUUUUCAGUAGGAUGCAUGUGUGGAAGUGUAAUGUAUCUUAAGAGUGAUGUACAAUCUAAGAUUGCAUAUUUUUGUGGUGCACAACUUGUGAACCAAAUAUUGAAACUUGCACUGGUUUUUCAUUGUUGUUGUUUUGGGAUGAGCAGACAUUUAGAGUUGCAUGCUGGAAUUAAUAAAGUUGAUCAUUCAUUUUCA
Molecule: long non-coding RNA, 861 nt
Filed under: Pomacea canaliculata
Lineage: Eukaryota; Metazoa; Mollusca; Gastropoda; Architaenioglossa; Ampullariidae
Description: uncharacterized LOC112566475
Source: RNAcentral